Small nuclear RNA from Podarcis muralis (Common wall lizard), 96 nucleotides. The record is from Ensembl. Lineage: Eukaryota; Metazoa; Chordata; Lepidosauria; Squamata; Lacertidae.
GUGCUCGCUUCGACAGCACAUAUACUAAAAUUGGAAUGAUACAGAGAAGGUUAGCAUGGCCAUUAUAAGAGAACCAGGGAGGUGUUCAUGGUAAUU